AGACAGAGGUGGCAAGCGUUGUUCGGAUUUACUGGGCUUAAAGGGCGUGUAGGCGUCCCGAUCAGUCAGAUGUGGAAGCUCUGGGCUCAACCCAGGAAUUGCAUUUGAUACUGUCGGGAUUGAGUCGUGCAUGGGAGGGCGGAAUUCCUGGUGUAGCGGUGAAAUGCGUAGAUAUCAGGAGGAAGGCCGGUGGCGAAGGUGGCCCUCUGGGCAAUGACUGACGCUGAGGCGCGAAAGCGUGGGGAGCAAACAGGAUUAGAAACCCCGGUAGUCC
Molecule: ribosomal RNA, 274 nt
Filed under: uncultured bacterium
Lineage: Bacteria
Description: partial 16S ribosomal RNA
Rfam family: Bacterial small subunit ribosomal RNA
Source: RNAcentral